CUUUAGACAAUCCCUAGCUAGAAUCAUCAAAAACCAAAAAAAAAAAAAAAAAAAACGAGAGAAAUAUAAUCUAAUUUCUUUUUGAACUUUGUCAAAUGACAGCUUCAAACUUCACCCAACUGGAGCCAGUUAUAAUCUAAUUUGGAAAUCAUUACAAGUAAGAUAUCUGAUGGUACUACUGCUUCAAAGUCCUUUUCAUCAAACUAGCACGAUAUCACAAAUCCAAUUCAUUUAUGUAUGUAUUAUAAUACAAUGUAAGGCCCACACAGGCAUAGCUUAUAGAAAGAAGACUGAAAUUGACCAAGUUCAACUACUUGUCCACGCACGCACGGCGGGUCCCUAAUAUUUUUCUUAGUUGAGCAUUUCUCCCUAAUAAGUCCAUUUAUUAGGAGCUGCAACAAGUUAGGGGUCUGUUUCAUAUUAAUAAUAAACUAACUGUGUAUCUUUCCUUAAAAAAAAAUUUUACGUACUCAAAUAUUACCGUCUCAUUUCAGAAAAGGGGAGUGUCGCUUCACCGCUUCACGUGUGGCGUAUCGUAGCAACUAGCAACGGCACUAAGCCCACAGCUGUAACUUUGAAACGCUGACUCACCAAUUACAACCAUCCGUACUUCCUACACGAUGCCGCGAACUGCCUAAACUACCCCUGGAAGGCAGCCACGUCGGCAUCGCUGAUUGGUGUCAGCGUGGACAUGAAAAAAACAUACAGCGAAACGACAGCAGAGAAGCCGAUUUUCUUUUUUU
RNAcentral lists this long non-coding RNA (743 nucleotides) under Citrus maxima (pomelo). RNAcentral describes it as "long non-coding RNA (CMAX_LNC001624)". The record is from RNAcentral. Lineage: Eukaryota; Viridiplantae; Streptophyta; Magnoliopsida; Sapindales; Rutaceae.